CUCUCAUUACUCAUCAUUCUCCUUCUUUGUUCUUGCCUCUUCACAACUCAAUGUCGAGAAUUUCAAGUAUGACUUUUGACCCUUUUUUUCCCCUUUCAUGUUAUCACUCUCUCUGUUUCUAUUGUUAAACCCUUUUUUUUUUCUUUUCCAGCCGAGAAGCUAAAGUCGGUAUGUCUCUAGACUCUAAUCUUGUUUUUUUCCUUCUUGUCCUCUCUCCUUCUCUCUAUCUCUCUAUUUUUUUUCCUUGUUGUAUUUCUUCUUUUUCCUAGAGUUUUUUUUUUUUUUUUUUUGGUAUCUAAACUCUGUGCUCUUUUUAUUUUUCAUUGAAAAUGCAGAUAGAAGACUUAGAAUCAAGUUGCACAACAUCUAUAUGUUUUCUUCGUGUUCAUUUUACCUAAUUUUUGCUUGCUCAUAUCAUUUGUGUUUUUUAUUUCUAUUUUAUUCCUAUUUUUUCACACUUAGACCCUUUGGUAA
Molecule: long non-coding RNA, 474 nt
Organism: Quercus robur (English oak)
Lineage: Eukaryota; Viridiplantae; Streptophyta; Magnoliopsida; Fagales; Fagaceae
Exons: 2
Source: RefSeq, a predicted model, not a curated record